ACCUAGCCUCUCCCCACUCCCGGUGCCUGCUCUGGGGAGGGGCAAAGUUGUGGCUGAGCCCAGGCGCUGUCACGACCUGGUUGGGAGUGCACGCACUCAGGGCAGCACUGACACACUAGCCCCCUGCCGCCUCGGCAUGAACAGCAUGGGCACCAUGGAUGGCACGCUGAUGGUGGUAGGAAGCAGAAGGGCUCCUGGGCAGAAAGGGCUUGGUCUGAGGUGAAACCCCACCUUCAAGCCUGGGAUGGCCUGAGGCCUGGGGGCCGGGCUGCCAGCUCUGGGUAGUCUGUGGGUGGAGUGAGAAUUUAUGGUGCUUUUUCCGGGCCUGCUCAUGGACCAAUCAGCAUGCACUUCCUCCCUUCUGAGCCCAUAAAAACCCUGGAUUCAGCCAGACUUGGACAGAUGUCAAUACUACCAACUGUGGGAAGAAGCUACCCACUUCAGGACUCCUUGACUCCUCAGGAUGACCUGCCUACAGAAAGAAGCUACCCACUAUGGGUCUUCUCUCUGCUGAGAGCUGGAUACUCGUCAGGAUGACCUGCCUGCAGAAAGAGCUACCCACCAUGGGUCUCCUCUGAACUGUUCUGUUGCCCAAUAAAGCUCCUCUCCUUUUUGCUCACCCUCCAGCUGUCUGCAUACCUCAUUCUUCCUGGCCGCAGGACAAGAACUCGGGACCCACCGAAUGGUGGGACUGAAAGAGGUGUAACACAAAUAAGGCUGAAAUGCCCUGCCCCGCUUUCCACAUUGUGGGUGACAAGAAGAGAAGAGCUGCAGCCCUUCAGGAAGCCCAGACCUAGGAGCUCCCCGAGCCAGAGCUGUGACACCCUGUUUGGGGCUCUGUGUGGUUCUUGGUGUCCCCAAGCUUCCGGGUGCCACCGCAUUCUCCUUGUCCAGACAUGGGUGCCCGCAAUGGAAGCCGCUUGCGGUACACGUGAUCUAGCCUCACCCUUACGUGGAGCUGGUGCCUAUGCUGGCGCCUGGAGCUGCCUGCCCCACCACAGCAGUCAGCAUGCCUGGCUGGGCACAGUGGCCGGAUGCCACAUUCACUCGCUCACACACCCCUUGCCACUCCAUGCCUGGCUUGCCCUUGGCAGGCAUGGGAUCCAGGCUGGUAGCAUGAGCUAAGCGCAGCCUGCCAGGCUGAGUGAGCUGAAUGAGCCCAGCGGGAGCAAGCAAAAAUUGGGGCAAAGGUGCCACCGGCCAAAGUAGUUUCCAGCUGGAAAAGCAACACCCUAAGUUUCUUGAGAUACUAUCAUCACUGGCCCUUGAACCAGAGGUCCAGCUGCAACAGCACUGUUCCCUCCUGCCGCCAUCCUACUCUCAGG
Molecule: long non-coding RNA, 1325 nt
Filed under: Homo sapiens (human)
Lineage: Eukaryota; Metazoa; Chordata; Mammalia; Primates; Hominidae
Description: HSALNT0232603
Source: RNAcentral